AACGUAGGCCGCGAGCGUUAUCCGGAGUUACUGGGCGUAAAGCGCGGGCAGGCGGUCUGCCAAGUCUGAUGUGAAAUCACCCGGCUCAACCGGGCGAGGCCAUUGGAAACUGACAGGCUGGAGGGCAGUAGAGGUAGGCGGAACUCCGGGUGGAGUGGUGAAAUGCGUAGAGAUCCGGAGGAACACCAGAGGCGAAGGCGGCCUACUGGGCUGCACCUGACGCUGAGACGCGAAAGCCAGGGGAGCGAACGGG
RNAcentral lists this ribosomal RNA (253 nucleotides) under uncultured bacterium. RNAcentral describes it as "partial 16S ribosomal RNA". It matches the Rfam family "Bacterial small subunit ribosomal RNA", at positions 524 to 776 of the family's 1533-position model. The record is from RNAcentral.